This 559-nucleotide ribosomal RNA is filed under the name uncultured Pseudomonadota bacterium. RNAcentral describes it as "bacterial SSU rRNA". It matches the Rfam family "Bacterial small subunit ribosomal RNA", at positions 35 to 588 of the family's 1533-position model. The record is from RNAcentral. Lineage: Bacteria; Pseudomonadati; Pseudomonadota.
GCUGGCGGUAGGCUUAACACAUGCAAGUCGUGCGAGUAAAGUAUCUUCGGAUAUGAGUAGAGCGGCGGACGGGUGAGUAACGCGUAGGAAUCUACCUAGUAGAAGGGGAUAGCCCGGGGAAACUCGGAUUAAUACCGUAUACCUCCUUCGGGAGAAAGAAGGCCUCUCAUUGAAGCUUUCGCUACUAGAUGAGCCUGCGUAAGAUUAGCUUGUUGGUGAGGUAAAGGCUCACCAAGGCGACGAUCUUUAGCGGGUCUGAGAGGACGAUCCGCCACAUUGGGACUGAGACACGGCCCAGACUCCUACGGGAGGCAGCAGUGGGGAAUAUUGGACAAUGGGCGCAAGCCUGAUCCAGCCAUACCGCGUGUGUGAAGAAGGCCCUAGGGUUGUAAAGCACUUUAAGUUGGGAAGAAAAGUUAUUGGUUAAUACCCAAUAGCCGUGACAUUACCAUCAGAAUAAGGACCGGCUAAUUCCGUGCCAGCAGCCGCGGUAAUACGGAAGGUCCAAGCGUUAAUCGGAAUUACUGGGCGUAAAGCGCGCGUAGGUGGUUUAUUAAGU